CCUACGGGUGGCAGCAGUGGGGAAUAUUGCGCAAUGGGCGAAAGCCUGACGCAGCGACGCCGCGUGAGGGAUGAAGGUCUUCGGAUCGUAAACCUCUGUCAGCAGGGAAGAACGGUCACUGUGCUAAUCAGCAGUGAAUUGACGGUACCUGCAAAGGAAGCACCGGCUAACUCCGUGCCAGCAGCCGCGGUAAUACGGAGGGUGCGAGCGUUAAUCGGAAUUACUGGGCGUAAAGCGCUCGUAGGCGGUAUGUCAAGUCAAGGGUGAAAUCCCCGCGCUCAACGUGGGAACUGCCUUUGAAACUGGCAAACUGGAGUGUGUGAGAGGAUAGUGGAAUUCCAGGUGUAGGAGUGAAAUGCGUAGAUAUUAGGAGGAACAUCAGUGGCGAAGGCGACUAUCUGGCACAUAACUGACGCUGAGGAGCGAAAGCGUGGGUAGCAAACAGGAUUAGAUACCCGAGUAGUC
RNAcentral lists this ribosomal RNA (465 nucleotides) under uncultured bacterium. Its description in RNAcentral is "partial 16S ribosomal RNA". It matches the Rfam family "Bacterial small subunit ribosomal RNA", at positions 338 to 795 of the family's 1533-position model. The record is from RNAcentral.